AAUUUUCAGUGUUUAGUAUAAAACCCGAUUUUAAAAAAAAACUUAUUCAAAUUAAUGGAACUA
This 63-nucleotide transfer RNA is filed under the name Rhodomonas lens. Lineage: Eukaryota; Cryptophyceae; Pyrenomonadales; Pyrenomonadaceae. The record is from RNAcentral.